Molecule: ribosomal RNA, 543 nt
Filed under: uncultured bacterium
Lineage: Bacteria
Description: bacterial SSU rRNA
Rfam family: Bacterial small subunit ribosomal RNA
Source: RNAcentral
AAUAGAUACCCGGGUAGUCCACGCCCUAAACGAUGUCGACUAGGUGUUGGGGAAGGAGACUUCCUUAGUACCGCAGCUAACGCGUGAAGUCGACCGCCUGGGGAGUACGGUCGCAAGAUUAAAACUCAAAGGAAUUGACGGGGACCCGCACAAGCGGUGGAUGAUGUGGAUUAAUUCGAUGCAACGCGAAAAACCUUACCUACCCUUGACAUGUACGGAAGUCCGCUGAGAGGUGGAUGUGCCCGAAAGGGAGCCGUAACACAGGUGCUGCAUGGCUGUCGUCAGCUCGUGUCGUGAGAUGUUGGGUUAAGUCCCGCAACGAGCGCAACCCUUGCCAUUAGUUGCCACAUUCAGUUGGGCACUCUAAUGGGACUGCCGGUGACAAACCGGAGGAAGGUGGGGAUGACGUCAAGUCCUCAUGGCCCGUAUGGGUAGGGCCUCACACGUCAUACAAUGGCGCGUACAGAGGGUUGCCAACCCGCGAGGGGGAGCCAAUCCCAGAAAGCGCGUCGUAGUCCGGAUUGGAGUCUGCAACUCGACUCC